GCAGUCGACGGUAACAGAACUAGCUUGCUAGUUGCUGACGAGUGGCGGACGGGUGAGUAAUACUUAGGGAUCUGCCUCUGUGUGGGGGAUAACUAUUGGAAACGAUAGCUAAUACCGCAUAACGUCUACGGACCAAAGAGGGCUUCGGCUCUCGCGCAGAGAGGAACCUAAGCGAGAUUAGCUUGUUGGUGAGGUAAAGGCUCACCAAGGCGACGAUCUCUAGCUGUUCUGAGAGGAAGAUCAGCCACACUGGAACUGAGACACGGUCCAGACUCCUACGGGAGGCAGCAGUGGGGAAUAUUGCACAAUGGGGGCAACCCUGAUGCAGCCAUGCCGCGUGUGUGAAGAAGGCCUUCGGGUUGUAAAGCACUUUCAGUUGUGAGGAAAGUUUAGUAGUUAAUACCUGCUAGAUGUGACGUUAGCAACAGAAGAAGCACCGGCUAACUCCGUGCCAGCAGCCGCGGUAAUACGGAGGGUGCGAGCGUUAAUCGGAAUUACUGGGCGUAAAGCGCACGCA
This 517-nucleotide ribosomal RNA is filed under the name uncultured bacterium. RNAcentral's name for it is "bacterial SSU rRNA". It matches the Rfam family "Bacterial small subunit ribosomal RNA", at positions 57 to 573 of the family's 1533-position model. The record is from RNAcentral.